Tachyglossus aculeatus (Australian echidna) is the source of this 138-nucleotide small nucleolar RNA. Lineage: Eukaryota; Metazoa; Chordata; Mammalia; Monotremata; Tachyglossidae. The record is from RefSeq and is a predicted model, not a curated record.
GUCCUCUCAGGGUCACACCUGGAGAGUUUCCAAUACUCUACCAGUCUCAACUAUGGAAGGGAGAGUCAAGAAGAGGCAUAGCCAUUCCAUUCCUAGCUUGGGCAGUGGAUAGUUAGUGGAAGACAAUCUUCUACAAGU